GUCAGGUAUGGUGGCACAUGCCUGUAAUCCUAGUGACUCAGGAGGCUGAGACAGGAGGAUGGCAAGUUUGAGGCCAGUUCAGCAACUUAGUGAGACCCUGUCUUAA
Molecule: small RNA, 106 nt
Filed under: Marmota monax (woodchuck)
Lineage: Eukaryota; Metazoa; Chordata; Mammalia; Rodentia; Sciuridae
Source: RNAcentral